CAACCCAACGGUAGCAUGCACAAAUGCCUACGAAUCUCCCCUUUCAUUGGGAAUAACAGAUUGGAAACGACUGCUACUACCGCAUACGCCCUACGGGGGAAAGGAGGGGACCUUCGGGCCUUCCGCGAUUGGAUGAACCUAGGUGGGAUUAGCUAGUUGGUGAGGUAAUGGCUCACCAAGGCGACGAUCCCUACCUGUUCUGAGAGGAUGAUCAGCCACACUGGGACUGAGACACGGCCCACACUCCUACGGGAGGCAGCAGGGGGGAAUAUUGCACAAUGGGGGAAACCCUGAUGCAACCAUGCCGCGUGUGUGAAGAAGGCCUUCGGGGUUGUAAAGCACUUUCAGUAGGGAGGAAAGGGUAAGGUUUAAUACGCCUUAUCUGUGACGUUACCUACAGAAGAAGGACCGGCUAACUCCGUGCCAGCGAGCCGCGGUAAUACGGAGGGUCCGAGCGUUAAUCGGAAUUACUGGGCGUAAACCGUGCGCGGCGGGUUGUUCCACCAGAAGUGAAAGACCUGGGCUCAACCUCGGAACCACAUUUCGAACUGGCAAACUAAAGUCUUGUAGAGGGGGGUAGAAUUUCCAGGGCUACGGUGAAUGCUUAAAAUUUUUGGAAUAAUACCGG
Molecule: ribosomal RNA, 628 nt
Filed under: bacterium B8
Lineage: Bacteria
Description: bacterial SSU rRNA
Rfam family: Bacterial small subunit ribosomal RNA
Source: RNAcentral